RNAcentral lists this ribosomal RNA (1372 nucleotides) under uncultured bacterium. RNAcentral's name for it is "bacterial SSU rRNA". It matches the Rfam family "Bacterial small subunit ribosomal RNA", at positions 28 to 1381 of the family's 1533-position model. The record is from RNAcentral.
GAUGAACGCUGGCGGCGUGCCUAAUACAUGCAAGUCGAGCGAACGGACGAGAAGCUUGCUUCUCUGAUGUUAGCGGCGGACGGGUGAGUAACACGUGGAUAACCUACCUAUAAGACUGGGAUAACUUCGGGAAACCGGAGCUAAUACCGGAUAAUAUUUUGAACCGCAUGGUUCAAAAGUGAAAGACGGUCUUGCUGUCACUUAUAGAUGGAUCCGCGCUGCAUUAGCUAGUUGGUAAGGUAACGGCUUACCAAGGCAACGAUGCAUAGCCGACCUGAGAGGGUGAUCGGCCACACUGGAACUGAGACACGGUCCAGACUCCUACGGGAGGCAGCAGUAGGGAAUCUUCCGCAAUGGGCGAAAGCCUGACGGAGCAACGCCGCGUGAGUGAUGAAGGUCUUCGGAUCGUAAAACUCUGUUAUUAGGGAAGAACAUAUGUGUAAGUAACUGUGCACAUCUUGACGGUACCUAAUCAGAAAGCCACGGCUAACUACGUGCCAGCAGCCGCGGUAAUACGUAGGUGGCAAGCGUUAUCCGGAAUUAUUGGGCGUAAAGCGCGCGUAGGCGAUUUUUUAAGUCUGAUGUGAAAGCCCACGGCUCAACCGUGGAGGGUCAUUGGAAACUGGAAAACUUGAGUGCAGAAGAGGAAAGUGGAAUUCCAUGUGUAGCGGUGAAAUGCGCAGAGAUAUGGAGGAACACCAGUGGCGAAGGCGACUUUCUGGUCUGUAACUGACGCUGAUGUGCGAAAGCGUGGGGAUCAAACAGGAUUAGAUACCCUGGUAGUCCACGCCGUAAACGAUGAGUGCUAAGUGUUAGGGGGUUUCCGCCCCUUAGUGCUGCAGCUAACGCAUUAAGCACUCCGCCUGGGGAGUACGACCGCAAGGUUGAAACUCAAAGGAAUUGACGGGGACCCGCACAAGCGGUGGAGCAUGUGGUUUAAUUCGAAGCAACGCGAAGAACCUUACCAAAUCUUGACAUCCUUUGACAACUCUAGAGAUAGAGCCUUCCCCUUCGGGGGACAAAGUGACAGGUGGUGCAUGGUUGUCGUCAGCUCGUGUCAUGAGAUGUUGGGUUAAGUCCCGCAACGAGCGCAACCCUUAAGCUUAGUUGCCAUCAUUAAGUUGGGCACUCUAAGUUGACUGCCGGUGACAAACCGGAGGAAGGUGGGGAUGACGUCAAAUCAUCAUGCCCCCUAUGAUUUGGGCUACACACGUGCUACAAUGGACAAUACAAAGGGCAGCGAAACCGCGAGGUCAAGCAAAUCCCAUAAAGUUGUUCUCAGUUCGGAUUGUAGUCUGCAACUCGACUACAUGAAGCUGGAAUCGCUAGUAAUCGUAGAUCAGCAUGCUACGGUGAAUACGUUCCCGGGUCU